GGUUCCGUGGUGUAGUGGUUAUCACACCUGCUUUACAUGCAGAAGGCCGCCGGUUCCAUCCCGGCCGGAAUCA
This is a non-coding RNA of Ctenocephalides felis (cat flea), 73 nucleotides long. The record is from the annotation of a RefSeq genome assembly. Lineage: Eukaryota; Metazoa; Arthropoda; Insecta; Siphonaptera; Pulicidae.